UUGAACGAGCAUUGUCUUGGUCUGGGG
This 27-nucleotide small RNA is filed under the name Bombyx mori (domestic silkworm). RNAcentral describes it as "ovarian small RNA-37614". The record is from RNAcentral. Lineage: Eukaryota; Metazoa; Arthropoda; Insecta; Lepidoptera; Bombycidae.